Molecule: ribosomal RNA, 868 nt
Filed under: uncultured archaeon
Lineage: Archaea
Description: bacterial SSU rRNA
Rfam family: Archaeal small subunit ribosomal RNA
Source: RNAcentral
CUCCGGUUGAUCCCGCCGGACCUGACUGCUAUCGGAUUGGUACUAAGCCAUGCGAGUCGUUGUAGCAAUACAAGGCGGACGGCUCAGUAACACGUAGUCAACCUAACCUAUGGACGUGGAUAACCUCGGGAAACUGAGAAUAAACCGCGAUAGAUCAUUAUGCCUGGAAUGGCUUAUGGUUCAAACAAUUUAUUGCCGUAGGAUGGGACUGCGGCCUAUCAGCUUGUUGGUGAGGUAAUGGCCCACCAAGGCUAUAACAGGUACGGGCUCUGAGAGGAGAAGCCCGGAGAUGGGUACUGAGACACGGACCCAGGCCCUAUGGGGCGCAGCAGGCGAGAAACCUUAGCAAUGUGCGAAAGCACGACUAGGUUAAUCCGAGUGAUUUCUGUUGAAGAAAUCUUUUGUCAGUCGUAAAACCACAGACGAAUAAGGGGUGGGCAAGUCUGGUGUCAGCCGCCGCGGUAAUACCAGCACCUCGAGUGGUCAGGAGGUUUAUUGGGCCUAAAGCAUCCGUAGCCGGCUACGCAAGUCUCCGGUUAAAUCCAGCUGCUCAACAGAUGGGCUGCCGGAGAUACUACAUAGCUAGGGAGCGGGAGAGGUAGACGGUAUUCUGUGGGUAGGGGUAAAAUCCACUGAUCCAUAGAGGACCACCAGUGGCGAAGGCGGUCUACCAGAACGCGUUCGACGGUGAGGGAUGAAAGCUGGGGGAGCAAACCGGAUUAGAUACCCGGGUAGUCCCAGCUGUAAACGAUGCAAACUCGGUGAUGCAUUGGCUUAUGGCCAAUGCAGUGCCGCAGGGAAGCCGUUAAGUUUGCCGCCUGGGAAGUACGGACGCAAGUCUGAAACUUAAAGAAAUGGCGGGGGAGCA